This 498-nucleotide ribosomal RNA is filed under the name uncultured bacterium. Its description in RNAcentral is "partial 16S ribosomal RNA". It matches the Rfam family "Bacterial small subunit ribosomal RNA", at positions 27 to 507 of the family's 1533-position model. The record is from RNAcentral.
GGAUGAACGCUGGCGGCGUGCCUAAUACAUGCAAGUCGAGCGAACAGACGAGGAGCUUGCUCCUCUGACGUUAGCGGCGGACGGGUGAGUAACACGUGGAUAACCUACCUAUAAGACUGGGAUAACUUCGGGAAACCGGAGCUAAUACCGGAUAAUAUAUUGAACCGCAUGGUUCAAUAGUGAAAGACGGUUUUGCUGUCACUUAUAGAUGGAUCCGCGCCGCAUUAGCUAGUUGGUAAGGUAACGGCUUACCAAGGCAACGAUGCGUAGCCGACCUGAGAUGGUGAUCGGCCACACUGGAACUGAGACACGGUCCAGACUCCUACGGGAGGCAGCAGUAGGGAAUCUUCCGCAAUGGGCGAAAGCCUGACGGAGCAACGCCGCGUGAGUGAUGAAGGUCUUCGGAUCGUAAAACUCUGUUAUUAGGGAAGAACAAAUGUGUAAGUAACUAUGCACGUCUUGACGGUACCUAAUCAGAAAGCCACGGCUAACUACGUG